GAUCAUGGCUCAGGAUGAACGCUAGCGACAGGCUUAACACAUGCAAGUCGAGGGGCAGCAUGGGGUAGCAAUACCUUGAUGGCGACCGGCGCACGGGUGAGUAACGCGUAUGCAACCUGCCCGAUACCGGGGUAUAGCCCAUGGAAACGUGGAUUAACACCCCAUAGUACUUUUAUCCUGCAUGGGAUGUGAGUUAAAUGUUCAAGGUAUCUGAUGGGCAUGCGUCCUAUUAG
This 233-nucleotide ribosomal RNA is filed under the name uncultured bacterium. Its description in RNAcentral is "partial 16S ribosomal RNA". It matches the Rfam family "Bacterial small subunit ribosomal RNA", at positions 15 to 244 of the family's 1533-position model. The record is from RNAcentral.